RNAcentral lists this ribosomal RNA (465 nucleotides) under uncultured bacterium. Its description in RNAcentral is "partial 16S ribosomal RNA". It matches the Rfam family "Bacterial small subunit ribosomal RNA", at positions 28 to 507 of the family's 1533-position model. The record is from RNAcentral.
GAUGAACGCUGGCGGCGUGCUUAACACAUGCAAGUCGAACGGAAAGGCUCCUGCUUGCAGGGGUACUCGAGUGGCGAACGGGUGAGUAACACGUGGGUGAUCUGCCCUGCACUUCGGGAUAAGCCUGGGAAACUGGGUCUAAUACCGGAUAGGACCACAUUUUGGAUGGCGUGGUGGAAAGAUUUUCGGUGUGGGAUGAGCUCGCGGCCUAUCAGCUUGUUGGUGGGGUAAUGGCCUACCAAGGCGUCGACGGGUAGCCGGCCUGAGAGGGUGUACGGCCACAUUGGGACUGAGAUACGGCCCAGACUCCUACGGGAGGCAGCAGUGGGGAAUAUUGCACAAUGGGCGGAAGCCUGAUGCAGCGACGCCGCGUGGGGGAUGACGGCCUUCGGGUUGUAAACUGCUUUCGCUAGGGACGAAGCGCAAGUGACGGUACCUGGAGAAGAAGCACCGGCUAACUACGUG